This 443-nucleotide ribosomal RNA is filed under the name uncultured bacterium. Its description in RNAcentral is "partial 16S ribosomal RNA". It matches the Rfam family "Bacterial small subunit ribosomal RNA", at positions 338 to 795 of the family's 1533-position model. The record is from RNAcentral.
CCUACGGGUGGCAGCAGUGGGGAAUAUUGGGCAAUGGGCGCAAGCCUGACCCAGCAACGCCGCGUGAAGGAAGAAGGCUUUCGGGUUGUAAACUUCUUUUCUCAGGGACGAAGAAAGUGACGGUACCUGAGGAAUAAGCCCCGGCGAACUACGUGCCAGCAGCCGCGGUAUUACGUAGGUGGCAAGCUUUAUCCGGAUUUACUGGGUGGAAAGGGCGUGUAGGCGGGAAAGCAAGUCAGAUGUGAAAACCAUGGGGUCAACCUGUGGCCUGCCUUUGAAACUGGUUUUCUUGAGUACUGGAGAGGCAGACGGAAUGCCUAGUGUAGCGGUGAAAUGCGUAGAUAUUAGGAGGAACACCGGUGGCGAAGGCGGUCUGCUGGAGAGCAACUGACGCUGAGGCGCGAAAGCGUGGGGAGCAAACAGGAUUAGAUACCCCAGUAGUC